RNAcentral lists this ribosomal RNA (505 nucleotides) under uncultured bacterium. Its description in RNAcentral is "partial 16S ribosomal RNA". It matches the Rfam family "Bacterial small subunit ribosomal RNA", at positions 28 to 507 of the family's 1533-position model. The record is from RNAcentral.
GACGAACGCUGGCGGCGUGCCUAAUACAUGCAAGUCGAACGCACAGUUUAUACUGUAGCUUGCUACACCAUACACUGGGAGUUGCGAACGGUUGAGUUACGCGUGGGUGACCUGCCUGGUAGCGGGGGAUAACUAUUAAUAACGCUAGCUACUAGCGCAUAAUAUUAAUUAUUCCUUGGUAAUUAAUUGAAAGGUUCAGUCUCACCCCUACCAGCUGGACCUUCGUUGUAUUAGCUAGUAGGUGAGGUAACGGCUCACCUACGCGGAGAUACAUAACCGAGCUGGGAGGGUGAUCGGCCAAACUGGGACUGAGACAAGGCUCCGAAUCCCUAGGGAGGGAGCAGGAGGGAAACAUUGGCAAUUGAGGGAAGGCUGACCGAGGACCGCCGCGGGAGUGAAGAAGGGUUUCGGAUCGUAAAGGUCUGUUGUAAGGGGAGAACGGGUGUGAGAGUGGAAAGUUCACGUUGUGACGGUACCUAAAGAGAAAGCGACGGCUAACUACGUG